GCAACAUCGCGUUGAAACAUCAGUUCUCAUAAGAUCACCAAAGUUAAGCAACGUCGAGCCUGUUCAGUACCUAAAUGGGUGACUGCUUGGCAAUACCAGGUGCUAUC
Molecule: non-coding RNA, 107 nt
Organism: Acanthosepion pharaonis
Lineage: Eukaryota; Metazoa; Mollusca; Cephalopoda; Sepiida; Sepiidae
Source: the annotation of a GenBank genome assembly